GACUAGCGGGAGGGGGCCGGGCUAGCGGGCUACUGGGCUGCGGAGACCAGAGCCCGGCUCCACUGAAGAAACCCGCCGGCUGCUGGGGCAGGGCGGCGAAAGGUCAGUCGGCCGAGAGGAGUCCGUGGAGCCACCGUUUCAUAGCCUCAGGGAAAGGAUCGGGCGUGCUCACGAGCCCUCUAACCCAUGGCUUAAACACCCGCUUCCUAAGCCUGGGUUCUUAUGCCUUUGUUUGAAAAACAUGGUUCCCUGUGAAAUUUUACAUGUAGAAGAAAGCUUCACACUACGAGAGCUCUCAGGAUAUAAUUAUUUCAGACAGAUACUGGGAACAUAAGAUGGCUUAUCAAUCUAAGAUGGCCUUCCUGUCCUUCGGAUUGAACUGAAACCAUCCCUGAUUCCAGGGAUAGGUAGAUGAUCCAGGUUUGGACAAUCAAAAUAUUGAACCACCCUGGACCUACAAGUGUUUCUGGGAUGGGAACAUGCAAACGUUGGUCCAAAUUGUUGUUCUAGGCAGCCCAGUACAUUUCUCCAAUGCCUGAUGGAAUGAUAGGGUAUGCAUAAAUGUUCAUGUGGGCUCUGGAGUAUACCAGGAACUGAAGUAAGGUACAUGGACGUCUUGAAUAUUGUAACUGAGAUGGGCAAGCCUACACCUUUGCAAAUAAAGGAGGAUUGGGAAAGAUUAAGCCUCUCAAGCACUGUGAAAAAUCACUUUCUCUUGUUGUAUUCUUGGAGCCCCUGCUAAUUCAUUAUUGAAAAAUACCUGCUGCCUGCAUUUGGCCUUAUGUUGUCAUUUACUUGGUACUUCCUAAGCGUGGCUACUCCAAUGAAGCUUUAGUAUAUGUACUGAAAGAAGAUCCUCUCAUACUGCCACAGCCAAGAGAUAAGGUUGUAAAUCUUUAUUGGGAGAAGCCGUCAAGGACAGUUCUGUGAAAUGAAAGGAUCUCUGGAUCACCACAAAGUCUGGCUCAGUGACUAUGGCUUUGCAAACACUAAACAUUCCUGUCUCAAGUCCUGUAGAUGGCUUGAAAUAGUAUACAUAAGCAUGCCUUAUAAACAUCUUCAGUCUUUAUCAACUCUUUGGAGAUUCAGCCAUUCUUUUUUGUACUUUAGGGAAUUAAAUCAUUUUAUAAUGUAUAAAUCUGAGCAUGGCCGAUGGCAGAAGAAAUUUUGUCAUACGUUUUUAAAGAAAUAAAAAUGUAUUAUGUUUUAAAAUUCCUUUAACUGUUUUUCUUACAAAAUUCCCAACAACUUAGUUACCAAGUAAACUAUCUCAGAUAUGAUUUUUCAGUCCUUGCUAAUCUAUUUAUAAAAUCUUUUGCUAUUUUAAAAAAAAAAAAAAAAAA
RNAcentral lists this long non-coding RNA (1343 nucleotides) under Homo sapiens (human). RNAcentral's name for it is "DPH5 divergent transcript (DPH5-DT)". The record is from RNAcentral. Lineage: Eukaryota; Metazoa; Chordata; Mammalia; Primates; Hominidae.